RNAcentral lists this long non-coding RNA (799 nucleotides) under Anas platyrhynchos platyrhynchos (common mallard). RNAcentral describes it as "lncRNA (ENSAPLG00000029128.1)". The record is from RNAcentral. Lineage: Eukaryota; Metazoa; Chordata; Aves; Anseriformes; Anatidae.
AUGCACGCUGCUUCACCCCCCUCCUGCUUUACCCCCGCGGGCCGCCAUUCGCUGAGCGCCCAGCCCGCCUCCCCGGCCUCUCACUGCCGGCCCUGCGCAUGUGUUGUAGGAGGGGGAGCGUUACCUAUACAAAUAACACAUUUUAAGAAGUCAAGCCUCAAGGAACUGUUAGGUGGAAAUAUUGUUGCUGGUUUUCUCUACUGAAACUUUUGAAAUAGAAGAAUUUUAGAUGUGCCAUGAUCAAGAGAAGAAUUAGACCAGUUCAAUGUCCUUCUAAUUUGUGGUGACAGUUUUCCAAAUUUGCUGUGGUUUUGUUCAGAAUUUCUGCUUUGAGCACCUCAAACAGUGCACUGUUGGAUAUUGUAGCAACUCUCACAUUUUUCUUCAACGUUUUUCAAGAAAUCUUUGUCAUAUUUCCUUUGGAAGACUUAAAUAUUGCUUGAAAAAAUGGCAAUACUGGGAAAAAAAACACACACACACACACAAAAAAAAACCAACAAAACAAACAAAAAAAAAACAACCACCAAAACCACAAAAGACACAUUUUUAGCUUUUGACCUAUAGAUAUCUACGAAUCUUUAGUGUAAAGGUUCUGGACAUGUCUUCCAAAAGUUAAUAUUUUGAUAUUCCCAUCCUUUUUACCCUCCCUAAACAGUGUAUUCCAAAAGUUUUUAGUAUUAUCUUCAUAAAUCAGAAUUUCAGGAGGGUUUCAUAGUGACAAUACGGUGAGCAUGUUAUAAACAGACCUAUCUUGAAGCACAACAAUAAACUAUUAUUACAUUCUUCGGAAUGGUUUUGA